Molecule: non-coding RNA, 109 nt
Organism: Acanthosepion pharaonis
Lineage: Eukaryota; Metazoa; Mollusca; Cephalopoda; Sepiida; Sepiidae
Source: the annotation of a GenBank genome assembly
UUGCGGCCAGAUCACGUUGAAACGACCGGUUCUCCUACGACCAGCGAAGUUAAGCAACGUCGAGUCUGGUCAGUACUUAGUUGGGUGACCGUUCAGUAAUAAAUGGUAC